CACAGCUGGAACUAUUGGAACAUUCCAGGAGAUGAAAACAAAGAUUCCCUCCUCCUUCCCUUCCAUCUUACUGAGGACCCAUCAGUCACCCUUGUGAGUGCACUUUAGCCAUAGCAAGAGCAAGAUCAGAGAGAAAUAAGGACUUAUGACCAUUAGACCAGGAGACAGGAAGCGAUGGUUCUGGAAGGGGCUCUGUUACUAACUUUGGAAUUCAACUGUCCAGAUAGAAAGGUGGACAUGGAAAAAUUGGGCUUUGCAAAUGGUCACCCAAUUCUUGCCUUCCUGGUCUCCAGAUCACCCUUCCUAUACCGCCACUCUGGAGAAAGAAGUACAGAACGCUAACAAGAGGAGAUGAGCAUGUGAUUAUUGUUACCACUUGUCUGGAAGCAACCAGAAUGGAGUGGGGAAGACUCAAGGAGGAGAUCUUCACAGGACUCACCUCUCAUCACAGCUCCCGUGUGGUUGUAAUCACCCCAGAGGGAAAAAUAAUUUCGGUUUUUUAUGGUUUAAUUAUUGGUGAUAGCAGCUGUUUUGAAGACACAAACACAGAAGCAAGUUCUAGAACAUACUCACAGUUUCCUUGGUCACAGUGUUGUCAGUGGUUCUAUAAAGGUCUUAUGAAUCUCUACUUAGUUGACCACAAGUAGUAAGCAAGAAACAAUCCUGUAAAGAGAAUGGAGGUCAGAAUAAAGAAGCCUUGAGGGUUUAAAUCGCUUCUUGAAAAGGUAAUAAUAUUUACUCUUUUAAAAAUUAUAAACAAUACAUGUUCCUUUUACAGAAAAAAAAGAAAAAAAUAAGGAAACAGGACAUAAAACUCAUCUGUUAUUCCACCAUCUAGAUACAACUACUGUUAACCCAGGAACACUUAAAGAGUGUUUCAUGAAUAUUUAUGUAUACAUGCAAAUAUAUUUUCUAUCGGUCUUAGUUUACAAAACAGGGAUCCUAUUGUCCUUGCUGUUUUGUGACCUUUUCUUUCAUUGAAUAAGAUAUUAAUGAAUAUCCUUUGCCAGUAAAUAAACUUCAACUCUGUGGUGGACACAUUCUAAGAUGAUUCCCUUUGAUCCCCACCCCCUUGUGUUCUCACCAUUGUAUAACUGUGUGAUCACUCCAUUUGAGUGUGGGCUGAACUUCUGACUUACAUCCAACCAAUUGAAUAUCACAGUGUUGGGAUAUCAUUUCCAAGAUUAGGUUACAAGAAGACUCUAUCUUCUUGCUCAUGCUCUCUUAUUCUCUGGCUUGCUUUCUGCCAUGGAGCCAACUGCCAUGUCAUCAACUGUCUGCCCUACAGAAAUGCCCGUGUGUCAAGGAGCUAAGGGAGACCAGCCCAGGAGGAGCUGAAUCCUGCCAACAAUCACUUGAGUGAACUUGAGAGUGAAUCCUCUCCAUGUUAAGCCUUGAGGUGAUUGUAGCUCCAUCAAAUACCUUCAUUGUAGCCUUGUGAGAGAUCUGAGUCAGAGGAUGGAGUUAAGCCAAGCCCAGAUUCCAGACCCUCAGAAACUGUGAGAUAAUAAAUUUGUUGUUCUAAGCUACUAAGUUUUGGUGUAAAACAGCCAUAGAUAACUGAUACAAAUCACAUAAUUUUUAAUAGCUGCUUCAUAUGUUAAUAUGUCUGUACCAUAAUUUACUCAAUCUUUUGUUGCUGCACAUUUUGGUUAUUUUGUUUUGCUAUUAUAAACAGGGCUGCAAUGAAUAUUAUUGUACUUAAACAUUGGUACACGUUCUUCUUUCCUAAGGAUAAAUUCCUUGAAGUAAAAUAGCUGGCUUUCAAUGGGUAUGCAUUUUUUUAAAGCUUUUGGUAUGUUAUUCCCCAAUCACUUUCUGUUAGGAUUGUAUUCAUUUACAGUCCUGCUGGCUGUAGUUCAGGUUAAUUUCAACUACUUUAUCUUGAGUUGUCUCCAUGAAAACCAGUUAGAAACCGAAACCAAAGCCCCAAACAAGAAAAGCCCCAAACAAGAACCCAGGAAAGAAAACUAAGGUUGAAUCUUGAAAACUAUGAGAUAAAUUUGAAGCUAAACAAUUUUCAAAGUACCAUUGUUUUGAAAUAAGUCUGAUAAAUUCAACCACCCUCAAAUUGUUAUUCUUAUCUUUCAAUGGACACAGAAGUCCUGAAAAUGUGGUGAUACUCAUAGUCUUCACGAACUUUGAAAGGGAAAACAACAAUUUCUCUGGUUGAAGUCAACAUAACAAUAGGCUAGUUUGAAAAUCCUGUUUUUUUUCAGUUGCACAAAGGAUUGUCAAUAAAUUCAACUUUUUAAAUUACU
RNAcentral lists this long non-coding RNA (2261 nucleotides) under Homo sapiens (human). Its description in RNAcentral is "HSALNT0250719". The record is from RNAcentral. Lineage: Eukaryota; Metazoa; Chordata; Mammalia; Primates; Hominidae.